RNAcentral lists this ribosomal RNA (492 nucleotides) under uncultured bacterium. RNAcentral describes it as "partial 16S ribosomal RNA". It matches the Rfam family "Bacterial small subunit ribosomal RNA", at positions 29 to 507 of the family's 1533-position model. The record is from RNAcentral.
AGUGAACGCUGGCGGUAGGCCUAACACAUGCAAGUCGAACGGCAGCACAGUAAGAGCUUGCUCUUACGGGUGGCGAGUGGCGGACGGGUGAGGAAUACAUCGGAAUCUACUUUUUCGUGGGGGAUAACGUAGGGAAACUUACGCUAAUACCGCAUACGACCUACGGGUGAAAGCAGGGGAUCUUCGGACCUUGCGCGAUUGAAUGAGCCGAUGUCGGAUUAGCUAGUUGGCGGGGUAAAGGCCCACCAAGGCGACGAUCCGUAGCUGGUCUGAGAGGAUGAUCAGACACACUGGAGGUGGAAGACGAUCCGGACCCCUACUAGCAGGAGAAGUGGUGAAUGUUUGACAAGGGGCGCAAGCCUGAUCCAGGCAUACCGCGUGGGUGAAGAAGGCCUUCUGGUUGUAAAGACCGAUUGUUGGGAGAGAAAAACAGGGGGUGAAUACCACGCUGUUCUGACGGGACCCAAAGAAUAAGCACCGGCUAACUUCGUG